AACGAACGUUAGCGGCGCGCUUAACACACGCAAGUCGUGCGAGAAAGGGAGCAAUCCCCGGUAAAGCGGCGCACGGGUGAGUAACACGUAGGUAACGUGCCCCCAGGUGGUGGAUAACCUUCCGAAAGGAGGGCUAAUACAGCAUAAGACCACGGCUUCGAAAGGAGCUGAGGUCAAAGUCGGCCUCUAUUCAUAAGCUGACGCCAGGGGAUCGGCCUGCGGCCCAUCAGGUAGUUGGUAGGGUAAUGGCCUACCAAGCCUAAGACGGGUAGCUGGUCUGAGAGGAUGAUCAGCCACACUGGAACUGAGACACGGUCCAGACUCCUACGGGAGGCAGCAGUGGGGAAUCUUGCGCAAUGGGCGAAAGCCUGACGCAGCGACGCCGCGUGAGUGAUGAAGGCCCUCGGGUCGUAAAGCUCUGUGGAGAGGGACGAAAACCCUGGUUUCAAAUAGGCUCCAGGCUUGACGGUACCUCUUUAGCAAGCACCGGCUAACUCUGUGCCAG
RNAcentral lists this ribosomal RNA (505 nucleotides) under uncultured bacterium. RNAcentral describes it as "bacterial SSU rRNA". It matches the Rfam family "Bacterial small subunit ribosomal RNA", at positions 29 to 511 of the family's 1533-position model. The record is from RNAcentral.